This 444-nucleotide ribosomal RNA is filed under the name uncultured bacterium. RNAcentral's name for it is "partial 16S ribosomal RNA". It matches the Rfam family "Bacterial small subunit ribosomal RNA", at positions 331 to 792 of the family's 1533-position model. The record is from RNAcentral.
CCAGACUCCUACGGGAGGCAGCAGUGGGGGAUAUUGCACAAUGGGGGAAACCCUGAUGCAGCGACGCCGCGUGGGUGAAGAAGCGCCUCGGCGCGUAAAGCCCUGUCGGCAGGGAAGAAAAUGACGGUACCUGAAGAAGAAGCCCCGGCUAACUACGUGCCAGCAGCCGCGGUAAUACGUAGGGGGCAAGCGUUAUCCGGAUUUACUGGGUGUAAAGGGAGCGUAGACGGUAUGGCAAGUCUGAUGUGAAAACCCGGGGCUCAACCUCGGGACUGCAUUGGAAACCGUCGGACUAGAGUGUCGGAGAGGCAAGUGGAAUUCCUAGUGUAGCGGUGAAAUGCGUAGAUAUUAGGAGGAACACCAGUGGCGAAGGCGGCUUGCUGGACGAUGACUGACGUUGAGGCUCGAAAGCGUGGGGAGCAAACAGGAUUAGAUACCCCUGUA